UACGUAGGGGGCAAGCGUUGUCCGGAAUCAUUGGGCGUAAAGCGCGUGUAGGCGGCUCGAUAAGUCUGCUGUGAAAGUCCAGGGCUCAACCCUGGGAUGCCGGUGGAUACUGUCGAGCUCGAGUCCGGAAGAGGCGAGUGGAAUUCCUGGUGUAGCGGUGAAAUGCGCAGAUAUCGGGAGGAACACCAAUGGCGAAGGCAGCUCGCUGGGACGGUACUGACGCUGAGGCGCGAAAGCGUGGGGAGCAAACAGG
RNAcentral lists this ribosomal RNA (253 nucleotides) under uncultured bacterium. RNAcentral describes it as "partial 16S ribosomal RNA". It matches the Rfam family "Bacterial small subunit ribosomal RNA", at positions 524 to 776 of the family's 1533-position model. The record is from RNAcentral.